GACGAACGCUGGCGGCGUGCCUAAUACAUGCAAGUCGAACGCAGUGGGGACGGGUGAGUAACACGUGGGUAACCUCCCAUCAGAGGGGAUAACACUUGGAAACAGGUGCUAAACCGAUACUGAUGGAUGGACCCGCGGUGCAUUUGCUAGUUGGUGAGGUACAGGCUCACCAAGGCCACGAUGCAUAGCCGGCCUGAGAGGAUGAACGGCCCCACUGGGAAUGAGACACGGCCCAGACUCCUACGGGAGGCAGCAGUAGGGAAUCUUCGGCAAUGGACGAAAGUCUGACCGAGCAACGCAGCGUGAGUGAAGAAGGUUUUCGGAUCGUAAAGCACUGUUGUUGGAGAAGCGGUAUCUAACCAGAAAGCCACGGCUAACUACGUGCCAGCCGCCGCGGUAAUUC
Molecule: ribosomal RNA, 403 nt
Filed under: uncultured bacterium
Lineage: Bacteria
Description: partial 16S ribosomal RNA
Rfam family: Bacterial small subunit ribosomal RNA
Source: RNAcentral